AACGAACGCUGGCGGCAGGCCUAACACAUGCAAGUCGAGCGAGCAUUUCGGUGCUAGCGGCGGACGGGUGAGUAACGCGUGGGAACGUGCCCUUUUCUGCGGAAUAGUCCUGGGAAAGUGGGGGUAAUACCGCAUACGCCCUUUUGGGGAAAGAUUUAUCGGAGAAGGAUCGGCCCGCGUUGGAUUAGGUAGUUGGUGAGGUAAUGGCCCACCAAGCCGACGAUGCAUAGCUGGCUUGAGAGGAUGAUCAGCCACACUGGGACUGAGACACGGCCCAGACUCCUACGGGAGGCAGCAGUGGGGAAUCUUAGACAAUGGAGGCAAACCUAAUCAAGCCAUGCCGCGUGAGUGAUGAAGGCCUUAGUGUUGUAAAGCUCUUUCAGCUGGGAAGAUAAUGACGGUACCAGCAGAAGAAGCCCCGGCUAACUCCGUG
This 433-nucleotide ribosomal RNA is filed under the name uncultured bacterium. Its description in RNAcentral is "partial 16S ribosomal RNA". It matches the Rfam family "Bacterial small subunit ribosomal RNA", at positions 29 to 507 of the family's 1533-position model. The record is from RNAcentral.